Molecule: small nuclear RNA, 105 nt
Organism: Cricetulus griseus (Chinese hamster)
Lineage: Eukaryota; Metazoa; Chordata; Mammalia; Rodentia; Cricetidae
Source: Ensembl
AUGCUUGCUUCAGCAAGCACAUAUACUAAAAUUAGAAUUAUAGAGAAGUUUAAAGUGGUCCCUGAUAAGGAUGAUAUCCAACUUUUUGAUGCAUUUCACAUUGUG